AGGCACAGGAUGGGGUCAUGGUAGGCCAGG
This 30-nucleotide non-coding RNA is filed under the name Homo sapiens (human). The record is from RNAcentral. Lineage: Eukaryota; Metazoa; Chordata; Mammalia; Primates; Hominidae.